RNAcentral lists this long non-coding RNA (343 nucleotides) under Nicotiana benthamiana. RNAcentral's name for it is "long non-coding RNA (NBEN_LNC030022)". Lineage: Eukaryota; Viridiplantae; Streptophyta; Magnoliopsida; Solanales; Solanaceae. The record is from RNAcentral.
AGAAAGAAAAGGAAGAAAACAAAAAUAGAAAACGUGAAAGAAAGAUUGGAAACAGAAAUUCGAGAUUUCGACCUCGGUUCCGUGUUCGUGAUUCUAAAAGGCACGAGACUCUACCGUCUCAUUCGAGAUUUCGACCUCGGUUCCGUGUUCGUGAUUCUAAAAGGCACGAGACUCUAUCGUCUCAAGAAUCUUCUUGAGAAAAUUAAGGUAAUUUUUUUACUUUUCUCUUUCAAAUUCUUGGAAUUCUAUAAUCUGAUUUUAUAUACAAACAUAGACAACAAAGUUUGAUUAUAACUCUAAUGGAAUGUGUAAGAAACUAUAACCACAUGAAGUGGUUAAAUCU